Megalobrama amblycephala (Wuchang bream) is the source of this 1074-nucleotide long non-coding RNA. RefSeq lists it as uncharacterized. NCBI's taxonomy places the organism in Eukaryota, Metazoa, Chordata, Actinopteri, Cypriniformes, Xenocyprididae. The transcript is spliced from 2 exons. The record is from RefSeq and is a predicted model, not a curated record.
GUGUAAAAAAAUAUAUGCACACAACAGCCACUCAAAACCCUUCAACAGAACACAGUAGUCACUUUGAGGGAAAACACAAGAGCCUGCCCUGCAAGAAGCAGGUCCUGUUAAAUUAAGGUUUAGCAAAUUGUGAUGUUUCACUGUUGCUAUGGUGGCAGCUGAAGCAUCAAGCUUUCGUGUCUCACCACAACCUGUGGCAAUGCACUUGUGACGCAUGUGCUGAAAAGCACAGUGGAAAACAACACGUCAGUAUUUGUAAGUAUAAUUUGUUUAAACUAAGUGACAAACAAAAAUUUUAUCAAAGUACCUCAGUGCAAAUCAGUCUAAUGGCAUUAAAAGCAGUGUAGGAUUGACUCUUUAUCACUGAUAGAUUCUCUGGCAUCCUCUUGAAUAGCAUUAAUAAUAAAAAUUGUAAAUAUAAUUUCCCAGUGGUGCUUGUAAUUUGUAGUGUCAAGAAAUAGGAGUAAUGCUGUCCCUCUUAUACAUAAGUACUGUGACAAAUCCAGUUGGAUUUAUUCAAUCUUCCAGUCAGAUUGAGCCUUACUAACAUGUAUGUCAUGAUAAACGUCUUUUUCAUCUGUGUAAGAAGAUGAAUUUGACAUACUAUGACGGCAGAGCCUAUGGCUUAAGAAACGGAUUGGCACUCUCAAGAGGUUACUGCAAAUUUGUGUGUGUGUGUGUAUAUGUGUCCUGCUGUGCUCUUGUCACCCAAAAGCUGUUGCUUGGCCACAAGGUGGAAAAAAGCAGGUCACCCGUCACGACUAACUAAAAUGACUCAUCUCAACAGGAAGCUCUCCCACUGUGCUGAUGCAGACCCCUUCCAACAAGGUCCCAACAGAUUUGUGACUGUGACAUCUGUCACCUCAUUUUAGGCGAGAGUGUAGUUUGCUGUUUAGAUGUAGCACGAGAUGUUUCAUUUUACAUAGCCAGAACUUGACAAAUGCUACAGGCAUUAAAGUCUACAUGAGAUGACACACAGAUAUUAAAGUCUACAUGACAUGGCAUUCACAACCCAAAACUUCUGUAAUGUACCGUAUUUCGGCAUUAAACAGGAUAUUCAAUAAGAAAAAAAAA